RNAcentral lists this ribosomal RNA (253 nucleotides) under uncultured bacterium. Its description in RNAcentral is "partial 16S ribosomal RNA". It matches the Rfam family "Bacterial small subunit ribosomal RNA", at positions 524 to 776 of the family's 1533-position model. The record is from RNAcentral.
UACAGAGGGUGCGAGCGUUGUUCGGAAUUAUUGGGCGUAAAGGGCGCGUAGGCGGCGCCACAAGUCACCUGUGAAAACUCUGGGCUCAACCCAGAGCCUGCAGGCGAAACUGUGGUGCUGGAGUAUGGGAGAGGUGCGUGGAAUUCCCGGUGUAGCGGUGAAAUGCGCAGAUAUCGGGAGGAACGCCGGUGGCGAAGGCGGUUCUCUGGGCCUGUACUGACGCUGAGGAGCGAAAGCGUGGGGAGCGAACAGG